CAUAGAUACAGUGUUGACAAAUAAAUCCAAGGGGUAAACAGGUUACCUGUAAUCAGUGUUGGAAAACGAACUGCCUUACAUCUACACUGAAGAACAGGUGACAGAGCAAAGAAAACAUGCCAGCGAUUAAAGUUGUAUCGGCGAUGUGCUUGGUGUCGUUUAUGAUGCUAUUUGGGGAAUGCAAUGGUGCACAAUGCUGCACAAGUUACACUGGCAGGUUUGGACUCCAACAUUCCGCCAAGUUGUGUAGUACAUACUGCUGUACCGAUUUGACCGUCAGCACGUACAAAACGUGUUUUCGGAUGCAGCAAGAAUGGUUCCCUCAUCGGAAAGGACCGAAGAUAGCUGUAGAACAUGGCUCGAAGAUCACAUAUACGUUCCGGUAGUGUCAAGUGCCGUCCCCGUGUUAAUCAUUGCCUGCAUUUGCUGGUUCUGUUGCUGCAAAUAAUGCCGUUCAUAAAAACAUACCUGUCGCUCAAACUCCAAGCUAGGUGGUGAUCUUACUCGAAUGUUCCUCAUGUAUAUCAUCAUACGAGAAAACAACGACAACAGAAUAAGUUCUACAUAAUAUGAAGAUAAAAUUUACCAUCUUUAAGGCUUGUUACCAAAUAACUUUAUCUUAAUAAAUACUAUUUACUGCAAUGAUUGUGUACGUUUUGAAUGUUUUACCAACUUUGUUAUACAUUUAUUCAUUCAAACCAUCAAAUUGUUUCUUGUGCAAUAGAUGACAUUGGUUAUAUCUUAAUUUGAUUGCAAUUUGGUUUUGUUAACGUUUUGACGUGCUUUGAUUAUCUCUUUCUAGAAAUGUUUGUAUAUGUUUAUCUGAUCGCCCUAAAGUCAGAAAUGUGUGUGCUUUUAAAUGUUGAAAUUAUUUUAGGCUAUUCUAAAUAC
Molecule: long non-coding RNA, 891 nt
Organism: Dreissena polymorpha
Lineage: Eukaryota; Metazoa; Mollusca; Bivalvia; Myida; Dreissenidae
Exons: 5
Source: RefSeq, a predicted model, not a curated record